This 460-nucleotide ribosomal RNA is filed under the name uncultured bacterium. Its description in RNAcentral is "partial 16S ribosomal RNA". It matches the Rfam family "Bacterial small subunit ribosomal RNA", at positions 338 to 795 of the family's 1533-position model. The record is from RNAcentral.
CCUACGGGAGGCAGCAGUGAGGAAUAUUUGUCAAUGGACGCGAGUCUGAACCAGCCAAGUAGCGUGAAGGAUGACUGCCCUAUGGGUUGUAAACUUCUUUUAUAUGGGAAUAAAGUGUUGCACGUGUGGCAUUUUGUAUGUACUAUAUGAAUAAGGAUCGGCUAACUCCGUUCCAGCAGCCGCGGUAAUACGGAGGAUCCGAGCGUUAUCCGGAUUUAUUGGGUUUAAAGGGAGCGUAGGUGGUUUGUUAAGUCAGUUGUGAAAGUUUGCGGCUCAACCGUAAAAUUGCAAGUGAUACUGGCAGUCUUGAGUACAGGAGAGGUAGGCGGAAUUCGUGGUGUAGCGGUGAAAUGCUUAGAUAUCACGAAGAACUCCGAUUGCGAAGGCAGCUCACUGGACUGCAACUGACACUGAGGCUCGAAAGUGUGGGUAUCAAACAGGAUUAGAUACCCUUGUAGUC